Molecule: long non-coding RNA, 279 nt
Filed under: Homo sapiens (human)
Lineage: Eukaryota; Metazoa; Chordata; Mammalia; Primates; Hominidae
Description: HSALNT0070489
Source: RNAcentral
CAAGCUCAGAGGAUGCUGAGGCUGCUCAACAGGUGACCACACUUUGAAUAAUGAGGAGUAAGAACACAGAAUAGGGAGUGUGCCCUAUGGGUAUAACCAGGAAGCUACUGGGAGGCCCAGUCGCAAGGCGCAAAACUACUUGCACCAGCAGCGUGCACCAGCAAGAUAGCAGAAGCUGGAAGAGAGCCGGCUGGAAGACAUAUACCCUGGCUGGAAGACACCUACCCUUGAAGAUCGAGAAACAGGCCAUCUGGGUACCACAUAGCAGUUAUGUCAGGC